GGAUGUGAGGGCGAUCUGGCUGCGACACCUGUCACCCCAUUGAUCGCCAGGGUUGAUUCGGCUGAUCUGGCUGGCUAGGCGGGUGUCCCCUUCCUCCCUCACCGCUCCAUGUGCGUCCCUCCCGAAGCUGCGCGCUGGGUCGAAGAGGAUGACCAUCCCCGCUAGAGGAGGACCGGUCUUCGGUCAAGGCUAUACGAGUAGCUGCGCUCCCCUGCUAGAACCUCCAAACAAGCUCUCAAGGUCCAUUUGUAGGAGAACAUAGGGUAGUCAAGCUUCCAAGACUCCAGACACAUCCAAAUGAGGCGCUGCAUGUGGCAGUCUGCCUUUCUAA
Molecule: unclassified non-coding RNA, 331 nt
Organism: Ochotona princeps (American pika)
Lineage: Eukaryota; Metazoa; Chordata; Mammalia; Lagomorpha; Ochotonidae
Gene: 7SK
Rfam family: 7SK RNA
About the family: 7SK was discovered as an abundant small nuclear RNA in the mid-70s but a possible function has only recently been suggested.
Source: Ensembl